Molecule: long non-coding RNA, 762 nt
Organism: Tarenaya hassleriana
Lineage: Eukaryota; Viridiplantae; Streptophyta; Magnoliopsida; Brassicales; Cleomaceae
Exons: 2
Source: RefSeq, a predicted model, not a curated record
CAUCGAUAUAAUGAUUUCUUCCCCCUCACCUCGAGAAACCUUGUGUUUUCCUGACAAGGGCAUCCACCACAUGAACAAACUGGAUAAGGUUCAUAGUUUUUUAGUUCCCCUAGAGCCCAUUGAGUUUUGUAAAGAACGAGUUGAGAUCGAUAGUACCCUGCUGUAAUGUUUCGAUUUUCUGCCAACAUGAAAGAUUUUGGAGACGUUCUUUUGUUUGUGCCUGGUUUCAAAGGUGGUCCAGAUGAUACCGGCUUCUCAAGAAAAAGGAUUAAACUGGCUAUUAUUCCGGAAGAGAUAGAGUUGGUUAUCCAGGGCCUUUAUAAUCGAUCGUGACCAGAUGGCCUAGUUGGACUCAUCGGAAAGUUUCUCGGUGACAUGCACAAGGUUUGAGGAAUCAGCCGGAUGGAGAAACGGGAGGGUUAGAAGAGGGAUCUGGGUUCGAAGGUGAGAUGGGUGUUGGGAUUGCAGAGGCAGAAGGUAAAUCCAAGGUGGAAGAAGUCCGGGUAUGUGUUUGGUCUGUCAUGGUUAAGGAACAGGAGAAAACGAGAGAACAAGGGUGGGAAAAGAAAAAGGAUAGCGGUAAGAGCGAAAAACAAGUUAGAGCUUUGAUGCCAUCUCGACAUUCUCAGGAUGAGGAAGUCCAUGGCAGCAGAGGAAGAACUUUGAAGAAGAAAAAGUGCUUUCUGUUGUAUUGAUCUCAAGAGUACAUCUGUAUAUAUACACUUACAAAUCGAAAAAUCAGCAACUGCAAGUGACCCUUAA